RNAcentral lists this long non-coding RNA (280 nucleotides) under Helianthus annuus (common sunflower). RNAcentral describes it as "hypothetical non coding rna". The record is from RNAcentral. Lineage: Eukaryota; Viridiplantae; Streptophyta; Magnoliopsida; Asterales; Asteraceae.
AUGUUUGUAAUUAACGUUGUAAAGCGACUUAUUAAAUGGCGUUACUUGGAUCGAACACAUUCAUGAUGCACGCUUCCGUGAAGAAACUAGUUUUAGUCAAAACUUUUGUUAAAUGCUUUUCUUUUGUUCCAAACGGGUCUUUUGUAAGUUUUAUGAUCCGAAAGUAGUAGAUGUUGAACUUGUAGUUAAAAGACUAUGUUAGUAGUUUAUGUAAUGUUUGGGUUAAAAACUUUUGUAGUCGUUAUGUUGUUCGUUACCAAGUUAAAUGCAGAAUUUUGGU